UGGGGAAUUUUGGACAAUGGGGGCAACCCUGAUCCAGCCAUCCCGCGUGUGCGAUGAAGGCCUUCGGGUUGUAAAGCACUUUUGGCAGGGAAGAAACAGCCUGGGAUAAUACCCCGGGCGACUGACGGUACCUGCAGAAUAAGCACCGGCUAACUACGUGCCAGCAGCCGCGGUAAUACGUAGGGUGCAAGCGUUAAUCGGAAUUACUGGGCGUAAAGCGUGCGCAGGCGGUUCGGAAAGAAAGGUGUGAAAUCCCAGGGCUUAACCUUGGAACUGCACUUUUAACUACCGAGCUAGAGUACGUCAGAGGGGGGUAGAAUUCCACGUGUAGCAGUGAAAUGCGUAGAGAUGUGGAGGAAUACCGAUGGCGAAGGCAGCCCCCUGGGAUGAUACUGACGCUCAUGCACGAAAGCGUGGGGAGCAAACAGGAUUAGAUACCCUGGUAGUCCACGCCCUAAACGAUGUCAACUAGCUGUUGGGGUUUAUUAACCUUAGUAGCGCAGCUAACGCGUGAAGUUGACCGCCUGGGGAGUACGGUCGCAAGAUUAAAACUCAAAGUGAAUUGACGGGGGUCAUAGCUGUUUUCCUG
This 589-nucleotide ribosomal RNA is filed under the name uncultured bacterium. Its description in RNAcentral is "partial 16S ribosomal RNA". It matches the Rfam family "Bacterial small subunit ribosomal RNA", at positions 355 to 1363 of the family's 1533-position model. The record is from RNAcentral.